ACAGUGAGAAUUUUUGCGCAAUGGGGGAAACCCUGACGCAGCAACGCCGCGUGAGUGAAGAAGGCCUUUGGGUCGUAAAGCUCUGUCGACAGGGAAGAAGUUAGAGUUUUCUAAUAGGGGAUUCUAUUGACGGUACCUGUAGAGGAAGCACCGGCUAACUCCGUGCCAGCAGCCGCGGUAAUACGGGGGGUGCAAGCGUUAUUCGGAAUUAUUGGGCGUAAAGGGCGCGUAGGCGGUCUUGUCGGUCAGAUGUGAAAGCCCAGGGCUCAACCCUGGACGUGCAUUUGAAACAGCAAGACUUGAAUACUGGAGAGGAGAGCGGAAUUCCUGGUGUAGAGGUGAAAUUCGUAGAUAUCAGGAGGAACACCGAUGGCGAAGGCAGCUCUCUGGACAGAUAUUGACGCUGAGGCGCGAAGGCGUGGGUAGCGAACUAGGAUUAGAUACCCUGGUAGUCCACGCAGUAAACGAUGUUCACUAGGUGUGUCGGAUAUUAAAA
This 496-nucleotide ribosomal RNA is filed under the name uncultured bacterium. Its description in RNAcentral is "bacterial SSU rRNA". It matches the Rfam family "Bacterial small subunit ribosomal RNA", at positions 351 to 837 of the family's 1533-position model. The record is from RNAcentral.